Long non-coding RNA from Oncorhynchus tshawytscha (Chinook salmon), 455 nucleotides. The record is from Ensembl. Lineage: Eukaryota; Metazoa; Chordata; Actinopteri; Salmoniformes; Salmonidae.
AAGAUAAGACAGUGGUAUAGAACAACACAGGCCUGCAGAUGGGCUGUAAAAGAUAAGACAGUGGUAUAGAACAACACGGGUGGGGCCUGCAGGUAGGCUGUAAAAGAAAAGACAGUGGUAUAGAACAACACAGGCCUGCAGGUAGGCUGUAAAAGAUAAGACAGUGGUAUAGAACAACACAGGUGGGGCCUGCAGGUAGGCUGCAGAGGGAAAAGACAGUGGUAUAGAACAACACAGGCCUGCAGGUAGGCUGUAAAAGAUAAGACAGUGGUAUAGAACAACACAGGUGGGGCCUGCAGGUAGGCUGUAAAAGAUAAGACAGUGGUAUAGAACAACACGGGUGGGGCCUGCAGGUAGGCUGUAAAAGAUAAGACAGUGGUAUAGAACAACACGGGUGGGGCCUGCAGGUGGGCUGUAAAAGAUAAGACAGUGGUAUAGAACAACACAGGUGGGGC